Molecule: ribosomal RNA, 440 nt
Filed under: uncultured Caldilineaceae bacterium
Lineage: Bacteria; Bacillati; Chloroflexota; Caldilineae; Caldilineales; Caldilineaceae
Description: bacterial SSU rRNA
Rfam family: Bacterial small subunit ribosomal RNA
Source: RNAcentral
CACAAGCAGCGGAGCGUGUGGUUUAAUUCGAUGCUACACGAAGACCUUACUGGUUGACAUGUACGUAGUAGUGAACCGAAAGGGGAACGAGCCUUCGGGCAGCGUACACAGGUGCUGCAUGGCUGUCGUCAGCUCGUGCCGUGAGGUGUUGGGUUAAGUCCCGCAACGAGCGCAACCCUCAUCGCUAGUUACAUGUGUCUAGCGAGACUGCCAGGUUAACCCUGGAGGAAGGUGGGAUGACGUCAAGUCAGCAUGGCCUUUAUGCCCAGGGCUACACACACGCUACAAUGGUCGGUACAAUGGGAUGCCAAGCCGUGAGGCGGAGCAAAUCCUCAAAGCCGGCCUCAGUUCGAAUUGGAGGCUGCAACUCGCCUCCAUGAAGUCGGAGUUGCUAGUAACCGCAGGUCAGCUAUACUGCGGUGAAUACGUUCCCGGGGCUU